RNAcentral lists this long non-coding RNA (2094 nucleotides) under Homo sapiens (human). RNAcentral's name for it is "HSALNT0356413". The record is from RNAcentral. Lineage: Eukaryota; Metazoa; Chordata; Mammalia; Primates; Hominidae.
GAAACACCCUGUGGAGACUCUGGGACUUGCCAGGAAAAGCUACUCUCCGGGAAUCUAUUCUGCUCUAACUUCCUCUCCUGAGUCCAAUGGCUGGAAGCCUUCAUUCCUGACUUCCUUGCUCGCUCACUGUCUUUCUUCUCUUUUCAUAAUUUCCUCCUCCACCUCAAGAGGCUCCAGCCCUGAAGCCAUGCACGACUGUAGCUCCUAUCUUUGGGGUUUGGUCCAAUACCCCAUUUUUCAAAGGCAUGGGAGUCCGGCUCUUUUCAGAGUUGGUCUGGAUCACAGAGCUGUGAUGAGAAAAGUGCAUCAUGGGUGCGGAACUUCAGGGGGGAAGGAUAAUGAGUUUGUUGUGACGUGGUUAUUUUCUUAGAUCGUACAACCAACGUGGUAAUGCUGGCAUAAUAAUUCCCGGUUGCCAUUUUCUGACAUUUGAAAAGAUCUGAAGAUACGCCCCUUGGAUGCCUGCAGAGAAGCUCUGGGGCUUCAGUCAAUGACUCAGGGUAGCCACCGAACAUGAUGCUCGGGCAGUGGGUGCCACCUGGACUCCACUCUCCCCUCUCUCUGGGAUCAUAGAGUCCAAGGUGUUCUGUGGCCUCUCGGCCAAUCCCAGCAGCUCAGCGUGCAGAAGACCGAGGAGCCAUUGGUCAGUGUAGGAGGUGCCUGGAGUUUUGGAGAUGGGAUCCACAGGAAUUCAACACAACACGAAAUAAUCAACAAAUUCGGGGAAUGUUAAUCUGACCAUCACCAGUUACAAAUGAUGUUUCAUGCUACCUUCUAUUCCUGCCUUCAUAAAUCAAGCUCUAAAUCUCCAGGAAAAAAUGUGCUCAGGAUGGCCAGAGAAAUGUCCUUCCAACUGUGCAUGGAAAGGUAUGAUUUUGUGCAGCAGGUGAAGGACUGGUUAGAGUAAGUGUGUGCUGAGCUUUUGUGUUUGAAAGCGAGCCUGUGCACUUCUAACGAUUGGAAGGUUUCCUUGCCUUCUCCGAUCUUACACACAGCAAGGACAGCAAAGCCUUCCAGACCUGCCUGUGACAUGCACUGCACAUUCUAAAGAUGCCUAUGCAAUGGAAAACACCACUGUCUGCUCCAGCACAGCUGCCAUUCUUCCAUCUUAUCGACCUUAAUGCAACAACUCCUCACAGGCAGAGAUUUUAAAAUGUGUUCUUGGCAGAAGAGAGACUCAAAGAUGGGACAAAUGUGUCAUUUAAAUGCCUGUUAAAAUGGAAACAGACAUAGUAUAGUCAGAGGAUUGUGGCAGCUAAGAACAUAGUCUCUGGAGCAAAUCUGCAUGGGUGGCAAUGCCAAGCACAUGAGGUCCUAGUUGUAUGAACUUAGGAAAAGAAAAAGAGAACAUAUAUCCCCCUACCUUUUGAUUUCCAACAGUCUACUGAGAGGCCAAGAUUAUUUGCAGGGAAAGAAAAGGGGAAUGCCAUCCCCACCCUCUCGCAGCUACGUGCCAGUUCCAGAGCACCUGUUCCCCUCUACUUUGAAAAGGUCAAAAUGUUUUGCCAGUAACUCCCAAAUCAUCUACAGCCAAGGAGAAAAGUGUUUCAAGACAGAGGUGCUCAAUGGUAUCAAAUACUGCCAACAGACCAAGUAAUACAUGCAUUGAAGUGUCUACUGGAUCUAGCUAUAUGAAUUUUUAAUUUAGGACACUUAGGCCAUACUGAAGCAAGGUGACAAAAUGAAUAGCUACAAUGUCUCGUGAAUCUUGGGUUUCCAUUCACCCUGGUAUUCAAGAGAAAUUCUUGCAUCAUGGAAGUUGCAGUUGGAUAGGACUUUCUCAGCUGAACACUGUCAUCUGCCAGAGCUUCAGGCAAGAACCCAGAACAGAUGAAACCCCAGACAUGACAAAAUAAGCCAAAGAAUACCAGGCCAAGGUGUGAAAGGCCAGAUGAGAACAAGCAGCGUACACGAUUCUGUUGCCAACAGAUCUCCCCUAACAGUGUCGUGCACCAAAUUUCCACAGUGAAUGUCAGGAAAAAAUGGCAAUUGAGGUGGGUGGUCAAAAGAGAAGCACAGUCUAUGAUGAAGUCACCCCAGAGAAGUCCUUUUUCCGUUUUCUCCUGAGAAAUUACCAGAAGAAAUUAAAAUCCU